Molecule: ribosomal RNA, 253 nt
Filed under: uncultured bacterium
Lineage: Bacteria
Description: partial 16S ribosomal RNA
Rfam family: Bacterial small subunit ribosomal RNA
Source: RNAcentral
UACGAAGGGGGCGAGCGUUGUUCGGAAUCAUUGGGCGUAAAGGGCGCGUAGGCGGCUCAGUCAGUCAGAUGUGAAAGCCCCGGGCUUAACCUGGGAACUGCAUUUGAUACUACUGAGCUUGAGUACGGGAGAGGAUAGUGGAAUUCCCGGUGUAGAGGUGAAAUUCGUAGAUAUUGGGAAGAACACCGGUGGCGAAGGCGGCUAUCUGGGCCGUAACUGACGCUGAGACGCGAAAGCGUGGGGAGCAAACAGG